AAAGAAAGUUUAAGAAAACGUUUACAAGGAGUGGUUCCUGCCUUUACUUGAGAUAGGUUGGAGUGACUGCCUCUGUAGGUGGGGGAAAUACAACCCGACAGUGCCAUCUUGAGGAAGUGGACAAGAGGCAUCAAGGUGGGUUUUUGUUUUUGUGAUUCUCCCUCUCUCUCAGUAUAGAUAUAUAUAUGUAUAUCACAUUUUGUUCUGGCUGCCUGCCACUGGCAAGUGUGUUUACACUCAAGUUAGAGUGAACAAAUGGCUUCGGAAGUAAAAUUGCACUUUGUGUGCAUAUAAUGAUGCCAAUUACAAUGACAACCUUCCAGCUUUCUGCUGCAAACCAAGUGCUAGAGGUUUAUUUGUAAUGUUGAAGAGGUCUAUUCCCUUUAUCACAGGUGCAUGCUUAUAAACAGCCUGUAUAGAAAAGCCUUAUAAUAUGAAGGGGGUCAAGAAGGCAAUCUGCAGGAAAGUACAAAACUCCAAACAAAUGAGAAGAACCUCUCAAAUUGCCAAACUGUAGUGGAGUGGCUGAAACUGCCACGCAACCGAAGAGGCGUUUUCUGAACAAAGAGUAAAGCAACAACAACGACAAAAAUCUUACGGAACAGAAGUACCUUCACAGGUUGAUCUCCCUCAGGGUGGUUGCUAAGGCCAAGAUAUUUGUGGAGCGAUUGAUCCAAGGUGGAUGAGAAACUCAUUAAGCCUCCUAGGUAUUUCAGAUGAUAGUGGCAAGCUGGAUGAAUGGUUUGGGAAAGGAAGAAUGCAAUGGAUCAUAAAGUUGUAUGCAUAGUUUUACAUGCAGGAUCUAAGUCUUAGAGAAGGUUGGAGAUGGAGCAUGACUAGAUAUGAAAUGGAAGGUUAUGUAGGAAAAAAAAAUCAAUAUAGUUAUAGAAUAAGCAAUUGUUUAAGGUUCUGAGGAGCAGGGUUCAGACAUGUGUGCCUCUCCUAAAAAAAAAUACAGAGAGAAAAAUACAGAACAGCCUGAUUCAAGAGAGUAAAAUAGGAACAAAUACAGUGAGUUACUUCUGGAAUGCAGAAGUGGCUGAGCACAGAGCACAAAUGCUGAAGUGUGGAGAGCAUAAAUAGAUCUUCAAACACAUUCAUAGUAGCUAUUAAGACGAAGGAAGUAGGUAGUUUGCUAUAUCCCCACUGCAGAUAGGAAAAGAAAUAAUGGCUUUAUACUGCAGCUGGAAAUGCUCUGCUCAGAAACUAAAAGAAGCUCUUGUAGCUGAAGAUAGCUGAGCACCAGAGCUUUGAGGUGUUAUUAAAGGAAAGUUAGACACAUUUCUGCUUGUUGUUACAUGGGAAAUGCUUCAGGUCGCCCAUCUUUAGAUGGCCUUUUCUUACCUUUUCUGCAAGUUUGUGUUUUCACAUGCAAAAGACUGUGUUGAAUUAAAGGUAUUGCCCUGGAUAAUGUGACAGCUGCAUGUGUGUUAGUACUGAGGGUGCAAAGAAGACCCUAGCUGAUUGGGCUCCUUGAGUACCAGACAGUGUAAUCCCAGUGACAUUAAUUCCAAUAUGAGUCCUCUUUAUUUUCUGCAAGUUGUCAGUAACCCUUUAACCAAUGACGUAUCAUUGGAUUUCAUUAUGCUGUGCCUAAUUUUGAACGGAUUUGCUUCCUCAUCUCAGCCUUGGCUACAGCUGACUGGAAGUCAGCAGUCACCCUCCCCAUACACACCAUUACACUUUAUAAAAAGCAGCCAAAAAAUAGACGGAUACAGAAAAGGGGAGGGAGAAGGAAAGAAGAAGGAUGUGAUGAGGAAUUAAUGCUAUUUUUCUUCAAAUGCAUCUUUGCCACGUUUCAUUUGUAGACAAGAGUGUGUGCUACUGAAGAAGACCUUUCUGGGCUACUUUCAGGAGACUGAGGUACAGGAGCAUGGAUCUUAUUUUUGUGUUAGGUCUUAAAGAGUUGUUUAAGGGGUAUUAGUUCUAACUUGCACUGCUAAUUCUGCCUGGUUAAAAACAAAAGGUAAUAUCUGCAUGAAGCUUUUUCUCCUAGAAGGAUAAAUCAUUUGACAUCAUUUGACUAAUGUUUAAAGAUCUGAAUGUAUAUUAUUCUAUUGCCAAAAGUACUGGUGCUGUAAAAGAUGAGGGUGGAAAUAUCAUGCAGCUGCAGCAGACAGAUGCAGAUCUGAGGCUUGCUGCUGAUUGUUGACCAAGUCACUCUUUUGGGGAUCAUAAUCUAGUAAGUAGCCACAAGGAAGAUGGUGUGGUCACCUCUUACCUCUGCCUAUCAACUAAUGACACUUUUUUCCUUCAUUUUAAUAUGCCCAAAUCUGUAGGAUGAAUAUUUAGACAGUGUUGUACAAGUGAGGGAGUUCCUUCAGCAGAGCUUGUUUAGCUCUUCUCCAGACCCUGGUGUAUAAAGCAGUAGUUACAAUAAACAUGAUACAACCAGAGCUAGGAAAAUCACAAUGAAACAGGACUGCUCACCUUCAAUGUUCUGCAUUCUUCUUGGCUCUCUCCAAUUCUUAAUGCAUUUCUUCACUAUCGUGAUGGAGUGCAAAAAGAGAUUUUUGUCCUCUUUUCUGUGCUUGUUGUAGGAGGUUCAUCAGAUCAGGAUAGUGGAGAAGGUGUUUGAUUAAAGUCAUUCAUUCUGAUAGAUGCUGGCUGCAGCUCGUGAGAUAGCGUGUAGUCAAAAGACAACUUUUUGUGACUACAGAUAGAGAGAAAUUAAAAUUACAACUGAUAAUCAUGGAACAACUAUGUGAAGAUGUAUUACAGACUGUUACCUGUUAACACAGAUUCACAACAUUCACAUGCACACGUACUCUUCUGAUAUAUACAACAAUAGUUUUGAGAGCUUUGUCAGGAUGGAUGUCAAGAGGCGUGCCAGACUUUGCUACUGGCAGAGGUCAGGCUUCCCUCUAGCGGUUUGUUACCUUCUACACAGCUCCAUAACUAACUUGGCCCUUUUGGGUUUCAUAGCUCUCCCUAGCUUUUGACAGGUGUACGUGGGUGCAGGUGUUUCCCAUUCAGAGCAGCCUGCAGCUCAGCAGGAUGUACCUGGUGAGAGUUGGCUGCAGUUGGUCUCUCUUGCUCUGGCACAUAUGGGGACAUGAGUACUGACUGUGCUCUGAAAAAUAGAAGUCGAUAAUCUAUUUGGAUUUUUAGUUCUAGAAGAUAAUUCUAUGUGCAUAAAAAGUGAUUCUGUUUGCUCACUGAAGGCAAAAAUAGCUCCUGAUGGGCUGUUAUAUGCAAAGUGAGACCUAAAGCACAGACCCCAGUAACCUGGGAAGGCUUCUGUAGGCUUACAGUCCGUCACAGCAAGGGUGGCCUUUUCGGCUUUGCAGUUUGGUGCCAAGGCCCUGCAUGUGUCCUUUCUUGGGCUCAGGCGCUGCUCGUUACACCCAUGUUUGUGUAGGUGGCAUUGCAGCUCGGACUGGGCCAGCAGAGGACGUGCUGGAGUCACAUAUCCCACCAGCCUGAAAUCACUAAUAAGGAAUGACACUUACGUCUGAGCCAAAGGGAAAACCUCUGCCUUCCAGUGACUGAAGCAGAUGUUCUUAAAAGACCCAAUCGGUGGGAAGUGUAGGAACAUAGCUCUUUCAAAUACUGGUAAAGGUAACUUAGAGACAAAUUGCUGCGUUGCAAACCAAACCAUUCAACUAACCUACCGAAAAAACCCCACCAAACCCAACAAAAGCAAAGCAAAUACUGCCCUAAGCCUGGAAAUCCCAACUGGAGAACAUUGACUGGAUCUUCUGGUCCAUGCAGAACAUCUCUGAAUCAGGAGUUCAGGAAAAUAAAGCAGUUUAUAUGAAAUAAGGCAUCUGCUAGCUAACAGCGCCUUCUGUUCAGAAUUAUUAGUCAUGGGGGACUCCUAAUUUCUCUACUUUUGCAAACCUUAUGCAUCAGGAACUGAACUUACAUAAAAGUUUUUGUCCUUCCCCUCCUCCAGACCGCAGCUUCUCCCAGAUGUUUACUUGCUUUCUGUUCCCCUUACAUCCUUUGUGUGCCGCUGCUACGUUUUGUCACCAGUUUAGGGAAGAAAGCAGAAGAAGGCAGUUUUCUGUCUUCACUAACAUGCUAUUUACUUUUCAUUGGAGAUUGAGAGUUGCAUUCACAACAUUUUCUCUCAAAUCAGUAUUAAUACAAAUGGUAGAGGAUGAUUCAUGGGGAGUUUUUCUUUGGCUAACAUUUUAAAAUGAACCUUGAAGUAUUUUUGUUUUCCUUUUUUUUUCCUUCUUAUUUUUGUGAGACAGUUUUGUGGUCUGCUGAUGUUGCCGAAGUAACUAACAUCUCACAUUUGUUGGUCUUGAACUGGUUGUUUAUUGAGUGAAAUAAUUUAAUAGCCUGAGCUUUGCUGGUCAGACAUAAGCUGCUCUGGCCCAAGGUGGAGAAGCAAAGGGGCAGAUAAGGGAGCUGGAAGAUUGGCCAUGUUGGCCAUUGGUGCCAUGUUGACUGUGGAACUCAGCACUAAACCAAGGCAGAGAGGAUGACCUGAUCACUGGAAGUUGGGACUUCUCCUGCUGUACUUGUUGUUGAAUAUGGGCAUGUUGGAGGAGCAGAUGUGGAAUAACCGUUGCUCUGCCCUGGUGCCUGCUUAAGCAAAAGGUGAUUAGCAGUCCUAUGAAACCACGCUGGCCUUGUGUUAGUGUCUGAUGGAGGUUGCUGGCCUUUGCUGACACUGGAAAGGUGGGUGAGGUUCCUCCAGAAAUGCUGCUUUUAGAGACAAGUGCUGGAUUUUCAUGACACCAAGGCUCCCUGCUGCCUGUGUCAGCGCAGGUUAUAAACAUGUUCAACAGCAAGAGGGUAAAUACAGGCCUGAGGACAAGCUCUAGCAGUUGCUGCUCUUACUUGUGAAUUCAUCUUUCUGAUAAGAAAAAGUGUGUGGUUUUCACUUGCACGCAUUCCUCCCGAAGUAUAUCUGUCAGCCCUGCUGCUUGCCCUUUAUUCCACAAUCCACAGUAACUGCAGGGCAGCUGGUGGCUGUCAGUGAGAGGUGCUGUGGAAAGGAACAGGCUUGCACAGCUCAACACUUCACAAGAUCACAGCUUAAAAGAAGAUGGCCAAUGCUGUGGUUUUAACAUCUGUCCUGACAUAAAUCUGCUGUGAUUAUUCAGUUUGUCAGUGUGCUCACACCUCCAAGUAGUGGGGGUAUAGGUUCACAGCAGCCAGUCUUAUGGGAAUAUCUGACUUUGGUGUUCCUUUUCUUAAUAAACAUAAGGUGACCACCACAUCUUGGUUUUAGAUUAGGGAUAGUUCUCUGAAAAGGAAAGAAAAAGAAUGUGAGAGGCGGUGCUAAAGACAGAUAGGAGUAGCGUACUGUUUGCAGAAUUCUUUUUUCUUGCAUUUGUUGUGCUUGUGUUUUUGUUUGUUUAUUUUGCUUCCUAUCAACUCCCCAACACAGUUUCAAGUGCAUGAGAAGAAGCUGUUGUGGUUUCUCCCUCUGUAUUACUGGGUGAUGUAUGAUGUGGGAGCUGAAAAUGGAAGGAACUUGGCUAAGCACAAAAGUGACAAAUGUUAUUUAGCAUCUUUAUUUCACACAGCCCUGUUUGAAAGCAGAGCAGCAACUCCUCUUUCCGUCAGUUUUG
Molecule: non-coding RNA, 5534 nt
Organism: Meleagris gallopavo (turkey)
Lineage: Eukaryota; Metazoa; Chordata; Aves; Galliformes; Phasianidae
Source: RefSeq, a predicted model, not a curated record